This 643-nucleotide long non-coding RNA is filed under the name Helianthus annuus (common sunflower). RNAcentral's name for it is "sRNA HanXRQr2_Chr17g0798591". Lineage: Eukaryota; Viridiplantae; Streptophyta; Magnoliopsida; Asterales; Asteraceae. The record is from RNAcentral.
UUUCCUCAUAAUUUCGACAGACUUGUCAGAUGGUUCAGCUGAAGCUAUUAAAAAAAGGAAAACAAUAAUCUUAGCAAGAAGGAAAGUACCACCAAAAUAACUGCUAGUCCUUUGGCAAUGUAACCUAAUUCAACUAAAACUGCAAUAUAAACUGACUUGAGCUUGAUGACAUUAAUCUCCACCCCCUGUUGCUAGCAAUAAUACUUUUUAGAUUGCCAGGACUUAGUAUGUCCAGUCCAGUUAUAUAUAUUAUUCCGUGCAAACUGAUUUUAUAUAUGUUUAGUUUCAUAUACAAAAGAUAAUAUAUGUCGAGAAACCAUGUAUGUGUGCAAGUACAAAUUAAAUUAUUUAACAUCAUUUAAACUUAUUGGGCGUUAAUAUGCACAAAUUCGAAUAUGAACAUCAUGAAGAUGUUUGCAUCCUACUAAGCAAAAUUAGUUAUAAGUGUCACAUGAUUUCAUAAACCUAGCCAUAAUCAUGAUUUAAGCUUCUACACAAAUAUCGGUGAAAUCACAUUAAUGAAAUCGAAUGAAGAGAAGCACAAUCACUAGUCCACUGCUACUACAUUUAUCAAUCUAUCCAGGUAACAACUGCAUAUUUUGCAAAAACAACAACAUCAUCUAAACUCUUAUAGCAAGCAAUU